Molecule: long non-coding RNA, 1613 nt
Filed under: Phasianus colchicus (ring-necked pheasant)
Lineage: Eukaryota; Metazoa; Chordata; Aves; Galliformes; Phasianidae
Description: lncRNA (ENSPCLG00000010305.1)
Source: RNAcentral
GUGUUAGCCCUCAGUUUGAAUGCGGCCGUCUGUUAAAAAUCCGUAAGUGGUGAGAAGAAGGGGGGGGGGGGGGGGGGGGGGGGGGGGGGGGAGGCGGAAUUCCUUGUCUGAAGAGAAGCAAAAACAAGUUACACAUGUGGGCAAUUUUCCAAGAACCCGAAGUAUACUCCGGUUAAAAAACACAAUUCCAAAUGAGGUUUGUAAUCUCAGCAGUUAAUAAAGCAUUUCGAUCCCCUGUAAAGUAAAAGCGUAUGGGCUUUGUAAAAGGGGAAGCCGGAGGAGAGAAAGUUAAAAUAAAGUUGGAUUGUUGUUCAGGAGCCCACAUUUUAGCUACCAGACUGAUUCUUCCCUCCAUCUCCUCUUCUCCCUCCAUGAAAUCAUAUUGAGCUCCCAAGAAAUAACUGGGAGACCGCAUCGCUCCCGAUGUCGCCGGUUUUGGGGGUUUUAUACCCAGCUGCUGCUGGGUCACCCGUUACGAUCUGCUGUGGGGUCACAGCCAGAUAGUGGGAACCCCCCCCCGAAAAAAAAAUAAAACAAAAAAUCGUCUGAUGUCUGGGAGGGAUCUGCCUCCACCACAUCGAAGCAAGGCGGUAGGGUGGAAAAAGGGCACAGGUACGAGAAUGAAGUCCAGAAGGGAGAGUUUUUCUGUAAAAUGUGUAGCGAUAAAAGAAGGUGCGGUAAUAAAAUAGCAUAAAAGGGGGAAAUUCUUUCAGGCGGGCUCUUUCCGCACCGCUUUCCACCCCCCCCCCCCCCUCCCAUACACACAGACCCCGAGUCGGGCCGAUAUGGGGCAGACGGGACCUUGGCAGGAGAGCAACUCGUGGGAAAUGUGUUGGACGACCCGCAGUUUCUCUCUGCUUCUUAGCUCAGAACUGCGCAUCACGUCGCAAACGGGGCAGUUACCACGAGGAGGGGAUUUUUUCACCAUCCCCACACAGCUGCUUUUCCAGGGCGAGCUGGAAAUGCGGGCGGUGUGCAGAAGCGAAACGAUCCCACAGUUCAGCUAAGGAACACGGAAUGAUUCCCAUAAAGCCGACCCCAAUUUGGGGCGAUCAGAACCACCUCAGCUCCAGCCCGGGGCUCUGCACCAAAUUCAGCAUCGUGAGCUGAGAUGGGGAGGGCGGGAGGGAGCUUCACUUACAGAAACAUCAUUUAAUUAAUCCACAGAUGCGGCAAAGCUUCUAAAUGAAUCGAAUAAGACUUGAGGUCGCAAUAGGAACUUUGGGUGAAGCGGUUAAGGCCGAGCAUCGAGAAAGAAUUCAGGUAAAAGGGAGGAGGAAACGUUUGGAUAGCAUUAAAGAAAAGGAGUUGGCAAAAUACUUCCAGCAAACCUGCAGUCGGAUAUGAGCAUCUACUUAUCCGGCAUGAAACCUCUCUCUUUGCCAAGACUUUAUUGCUCCAACAAUUCAUUCGAUUAUUUUUUUCCCCCUAUUUUAUUUUUCGUGGGGAAAUCUGUCCAAAAAUUUUAGCCGCGUUCGGAGUCUUUUUUCAUUCUUCCUUCCCCCCAAUUAAUAUUUUAAUUAUUAGUUUAUACAUUUCGUGUUAUAUGUUUAAAUCUCUGAAAAAGGUAUCAGUUAAAUAAAUAAAUUGAAGAGUAAUAUUAUUGAGAGCUC